AAGAGAAUGAAAGCCCUUCUGGCUUCCCGCUUGGGGUCGCGCCGGUUUUUCUCCUCCUCCAGCCAACGAUUGAAAAACAGAGUCCCGGAAUACCAGAAGCUCUUUCAGGAGGACAACGGCCUGCCCGUGCAUCUGAAAGGAGGAGUCAGGGAUGCCCUGCUGUACCGCUUCACCAUGGCCCUCAGCCUC
Long non-coding RNA from Euleptes europaea (tarantolino), 189 nucleotides. RefSeq lists it as uncharacterized. Lineage: Eukaryota; Metazoa; Chordata; Lepidosauria; Squamata; Sphaerodactylidae. The transcript is spliced from 3 exons. The record is from RefSeq and is a predicted model, not a curated record.